Molecule: long non-coding RNA, 449 nt
Filed under: Medicago truncatula (barrel medic)
Lineage: Eukaryota; Viridiplantae; Streptophyta; Magnoliopsida; Fabales; Fabaceae
Description: long non-coding RNA (MTRU_LNC005364)
Source: RNAcentral
UCAAAAAACCCAAUGAAGCCUUGUUGAAGAAGUAAACGUGAACCAUAACACAAAAAGGAUGACCCUACUUAACAAAAAGAGUUCAAAUCCAAAUCUUUACCAACUAGCCAACAUUAAAGUAUACCUUAAUCCAAAUCCAAAUGGGUAAGUAAAAAGGCAUAACCCUUUUUUUCUUUAACUGCCAAUAAAUAAUAAAGUUUCUACCUAAAAGGUGUUGAAAAUUAGGUAUUGACUAUUUUUCUUCUUUGAGAAUAUUUGUAGGUGGCUUGUUGUUGCUAGUUGCUACCAGUAAUUUUUUUUAACCUGGGGUGAAAAAAAUCUAAUUGGGUCGUUCUUUUUUGGUUAGCAGGCUCAUGUCUUACCAAGAGAAAUAUUUGGAAUAUCAACUCUUGAAUUGUGGGUCGAUUUCAAAUUUGUUCGGAUAGUUUUCAAGGUAGUUUAUGAACUGU